Molecule: ribosomal RNA, 497 nt
Filed under: uncultured bacterium
Lineage: Bacteria
Description: partial 16S ribosomal RNA
Rfam family: Bacterial small subunit ribosomal RNA
Source: RNAcentral
GAUGAACGCUGGCGGCGUGCCUAAUACAUGCAAGUCGAGCGAACAGACCGGAAGCUGGCUUCUCUGAUGUUAGCGGCGGACGGGAGGGUAACAUGUGGAUAACCUACCUAUAAGACUGGGAGAACUUCGGGGAACGGGACCUAAUACCGGAUGAUAUUUUGGACCACAUUGGGCAAGAGUUAAAGACGGUCUUUCGGUCAGUUAUAGAUGGAUCCGCGCUGCAUUAGCAAGUUGGUAAGGUAACGGCUUACCAAGGCAACGAUGGAUAGCCGCCCUGAAAGCGUGAUUGCCCACACGGGAACAGAGACACGGCACAGACUCCUAGGGGGGGACACAGUCGAGACUCUUCCGCGAUGGGCGAAAGCCGGACGGUGCAACGCCGCGUGAGUCCUGAAGGACCUAUGACCGUAGAGCUAUGUUAUUAUGAAAGAAGAUAUGCGUAAGCAACUGUGAACAUAUUGACGGUACCUACAGAGAAAGCCACGGCUAACUCCGUG